CCUACGGGUGGCAGCAGUGAGGAAUAUUGGUCAAUGGGCGCAAGCCUGAACCAGCCAAGUCGCGUGAAGGAUGACUGUCCUACGGGUUGUAAACUUCUUUUGUAAAGGAAUAAAGUGAGGCACGUGUGCCUUUUUGUAUGUACUUUAUGAAUAAGGAUCGGCUAACUCCGUGCCAGCAGCCGCGGUAAUACGGAGGAUGCGAGCGUUAUCCGGAUUUAUUGGGUUUAAAGGGUGCGUAGGUGGAUUGUUAAGUCAGUGGUAAAAUUCCGGGGCUCAACCUCGGCGAGCCGUUGAAACUGGCUGUCUUGAGAGGGCGAGAAGUAUGCGGAAUGCGCGGUGUAGCGGUGAAAUGCAUAGAUAUUGCGCAGAACUCCGAUUGCGAAGGCAGCAUACCGGCGGCGAUCUGACGCUGAGGCACGAAAGCGUGGGUAUCGAACAGGAUUAGAUACCCUUGUAGUC
Molecule: ribosomal RNA, 459 nt
Filed under: uncultured bacterium
Lineage: Bacteria
Description: partial 16S ribosomal RNA
Rfam family: Bacterial small subunit ribosomal RNA
Source: RNAcentral